AAGAAGUCAGGCCAGAUUAAGCCAUAGUACGGAAAGAGCUAUGCUGCCUGUGAGCCCCGUCCAAGGACGUUAAAUGAAGUCAGGCCGAAAGCCACGGAUUGAGCAAGCCGUGCUGCCUGUGGCUCCAUCGUGGGGAUGUAA
This 141-nucleotide long non-coding RNA is filed under the name dengue virus type 1. RNAcentral's name for it is "dengue virus type I partial sfRNA1". Lineage: Riboviria; Orthornavirae; Kitrinoviricota; Flasuviricetes; Amarillovirales; Flaviviridae. The record is from RNAcentral.